CAGUCGCCACGGGAACACGGAGGGUGCGAGCGUUAAUCGGAAUAACUGGGCGUAAAGGGCACGCAGGCGGUUAUUUAAGUGGGGUGUGAAAGCCCCGGGCUUAACCUGGGAAUUGCAUUUCAGACUGGGUAACUAGAGUACUUUAGGGAGGGGUAGAAUUCCACGUGUAGCGGUGAAAUGCGUAGAGAUGUGGAGGAAUACCGAAGGCGAAGGCAGCCCCUUGGGAAUGUACUGACGCUCAUGUGCGAAAGCGUGGGGAGCAAACAGGAUUAGAUACCCGAGUAGUCCCUGUCUCUUAUAC
RNAcentral lists this ribosomal RNA (301 nucleotides) under uncultured bacterium. RNAcentral describes it as "partial 16S ribosomal RNA". It matches the Rfam family "Bacterial small subunit ribosomal RNA", at positions 509 to 807 of the family's 1533-position model. The record is from RNAcentral.